This 154-nucleotide small nuclear RNA is filed under the name Cuculus canorus (common cuckoo). RNAcentral describes it as "U1 spliceosomal RNA". It matches the Rfam family "U1 spliceosomal RNA". Rfam says of the family: U1 is a small nuclear RNA (snRNA) component of the spliceosome (involved in pre-mRNA splicing). Lineage: Eukaryota; Metazoa; Chordata; Aves; Cuculiformes; Cuculidae. The record is from Rfam by way of RNAcentral.
AUACUUGCCCGGCAGGGGAGACACCAUGAUCAGGCAGGUGGUUUUCCCAGGGUGAGGCUCAUCGGAGUUUGAUGACCCCUGCGAUUUCCCCAGAUGUGGGAAACUCGACUGCAUAAAUUGUUGUAGUGGAGGACUGUGUUAUUUUAAAAUCUGA